CCUACGGGAGGCAGCAGUGGGGAAUAUUGCACAAUGGGGGAAACCCUGAUGCAGCGACGCCGCGUGAGCGAUGAAGUAUUUCGGUAUGUAAAGCUCUAUCAGCAGGGAAGAAAAUGACGGUACCUGACUAAGAAGCCCCGGCUAACUACGUGCCAGCAGCCGCGGUAAUACGUAGGGGGCAAGCGUUAUCCGGAUUUACUGGGUGUAAAGGGAGCGUAGACGGCUGUGCAAGCCAGAGGUGAAAGCCCGGGGCUCAACCCCGGGACUGCAUUUGGAACUGUGGGGCUGGAGUGUCGGAGAGGCAGGCGGAAUUCCGAGGGUAGGGGGGAAAUGCGUAGAUAUUAGGAGGAACACCAGUGGCGAAGGCGGCCUGCUGGACGAUGACUGACGUUGAGGCUCGAAAGCGUGGGGAGCAAACAGGAUUAGAUACCCUGGUAGU
Molecule: ribosomal RNA, 439 nt
Filed under: uncultured bacterium
Lineage: Bacteria
Description: partial 16S ribosomal RNA
Rfam family: Bacterial small subunit ribosomal RNA
Source: RNAcentral